CCCGUACUCGAAUCAUCAAAAGUGAUGCGUCAAAGUGGCGAGCGGGGCUGGUGAUGAUUCCGCAGCUGAUCCGGGGCAUUAUUGAUCGUCCCGUGUGUCCCGCUGUUGUGAUCCGGUCGCAGCAGGCGAUCCGAUCCUCCGGCUGCAACAAUGGCAUCGUUGUCCCAUAAUCUACACACCACCAUCGGCGGACCUUUUGAAGGUCCUUUGGGCCAAAGUUCUGGCCGUGAUGGCGAACACACACGCCGCCAUAUAGCAGCAUAUGCAAAACACAAUGAGGUUCUUUGAAGCGCAUCGCAUUCCCCUCUUUCAGCUCUUUCAGCUCUACACAAAAGGCGACAAAUUCCCCCUUUUUUGCCAUGUGUGCGUCGUGUUUUCAUUUUUUUUGUCUUUAAUCAGCGGCUGUUGCUUUGAUCACCAUCUCGGGAUCGCCAUCGCCAUUGCCAUUGCCAUCAGCACCACCUGACAAGGUGCUACGUUUAAGUCCCUCCCUGGUUCCUGGCUGCCCAACUAUGUACCUGCGCUCGAAGGUGUGACAAGUCAGCGGAUUUGCGUGUUGCUUCUUGCGAAAUAUUUAAAAUGCAAGAUUAUCGCCCAAAAAGGAUAGCUCGCCGCACUUAAUCCUGCCGCUGCAGCAGGCUCUCCAAUUUCAACCGACUAACUUACACCGAGAAUAUUUAUUGCCGUUUACCCAUAUACUCGAUAUAAAAAAAAGACACAAACGAAGAUCAACCGACCGACCGACCGACCGGCUGAGCGAGCGAUCUUAGCCGGAAUUCUAUUGCCCCCUGUGGCAACAACAACAACUGCAACAAGAACAACAUCAGCGGCAGCAGCGGCAGCAGCACUAACAAUAACAACGUCAACAACAACAGGUUGCCGCCGCCUGAAGUGCUUCGUGGCCCAGACAAACGUUAAGAUUGUAAUAACCAUGUUAAAAGCAAUUUACGUUUAAAGUGCUACCGUGAUACGCCGCCGAUGCGUUUCUUGAUUAAGAACAGAGGGGAUGCUGGAAAAAAAGGAAAGGCAGGGAGGAGACGAGGAGGUCCAGGAACUGGACUUGCAUUUAUUUGGCGGCAAGAAAUGCGCAUACCCGUUACCUGACCAGCAAUAGGCACCUGGUGACCAUGCAACAUCACUGACCUCCGUCAAUCGAGAGCAAUGCAAUUAUGAACCCCGGCUGGAAGAAAUUAAAGAUGCUCGCUCCGCCGGCUGAUGGAUGAGAAAUGCUGCUGCCGACUGGAGAUUGGAUGCUGGAUUCUGGAUGCUGGAGCCUCGGCGCACCUGUUGCGUUUCCCACAGCGAGCGGACGCUUUGGUUUUUCGCAAAAUAAAGAUGAAAAAACACCGGAGAACAGUUGUGCAGCGGAUCCUGAAAUCGGGCAAAAGGAUCAAAGGACGUGACCGUGACUGGGCCGAACCGAUAAUAAAGUUGUGCAUUAAAUGAAAUUUUAAUUGCUUAUCGGCGACCGGCGAUCCGGGAGCCCAUCUGUUGGGAUUAGAGCGGCCGAAUGGCCGACUCGAUUGAUGUCAAGCGAUCGGUCGGUCGGCGCUUUGAAGAUUAUGCCCAAAGUUAUGAGGUUGCGGUAGAGGCUCUGUAUUCCAGGUGCUCCGUUCUCCAGGUGAUCGGAUCGGCCUAUGCGAAAUUAUAUAGCUCAGCAGCGUUGGUAGCGAUGUAGCAGCUUUAACUACGCAGUGCCUGUCGCUUCCUCGCCGUCCUCUUUCUCGUCAUCGUCAUCGUCAUCAUCCUCAUCAUCAUCAUCAUCAUCAUCAUCAUCAUCACCGUCAUCAUCUUCCGCUGGGGCAUCGCAUCAGCUGGCGCUGCUGCUUGUUGCUUGCUGCUUGCUAUUUGCUGCAUGCGGCAGAAGAUGAAACGCGGCGGCACAACUUUGAUGCGGCCAAGAUCAAAGCCGCCGAUUGUUUACAUAAUAGUGGCCUUUGAAACGGAACAAUAGAAUGCCAGGAUCAAAGACACCGACCAGUUUACCCGGUUAGUGCGCUUAAGCGAAAUGAAUGUCCAUGUCCGUCCGCCCGUGAUCUGUUUUUCCUGGCCCCACACCGCAAGAAAAUGUAUGCUUUUUGGGAUCAAUAAAAACCAUUUGAGUAUGCUUUAUCAAAUCAACAAAUACUAACUAUCUAGUUUUUCAGUGAGUACUUGUUUUUAACCAAGUCAGCUAAAAUGUUUAGUUAAUUCAUUUUGGACAAAGGUUUUGUUGCAGUGUAGU
Non-coding RNA from Drosophila melanogaster (fruit fly), 2224 nucleotides. The record is from Ensembl. Lineage: Eukaryota; Metazoa; Arthropoda; Insecta; Diptera; Drosophilidae.